UACGGAGGGUGCAAGCGUUAAUCGGAUUUACUGGGCGUAAAGAGCACGUAGGCGGUUAUGUAAGUUGAAUGUGAAAGCCCUGGGCUUAACCUAGGAAUUGCAUCCAAAACUACAUGGCUAGAGUACAGUAGAGGAGAGUAGAAUUUCCGGUGUAGCGGUGAAAUGCGUAGAGAUCGGAAGGAAUACCAGUGGCGAAGGCGACUCUCUGGAUUGAUACUGACGCUCAGGUGCGAAAGCGUGGGGAGCAAACAGG
Molecule: ribosomal RNA, 253 nt
Filed under: uncultured bacterium
Lineage: Bacteria
Description: partial 16S ribosomal RNA
Rfam family: Bacterial small subunit ribosomal RNA
Source: RNAcentral